This 387-nucleotide ribosomal RNA is filed under the name uncultured bacterium. RNAcentral describes it as "bacterial SSU rRNA". It matches the Rfam family "Bacterial small subunit ribosomal RNA", at positions 28 to 416 of the family's 1533-position model. The record is from RNAcentral.
GACGAACGCUGGCGGCGUGCUUAACACAUGCAAGUCGAGCGGUAAGGCCCUUUCGGGGGUACACGAGCGGCGAACGGGUGAGUAACACGUGGGUGACCUGCCCUCAGCUCUGGGAUAGGCCCGGGAAACUGGGUCUAAUACCGGAUAUGACUCCAUGACGCAUGUUGUGGGGUGGAAAGCCUUGUGCGGCUGAGGAUGGGCCCGCGGCCUAUCAGCUUGUUGGUGGGGUGANGGCCUACCAAGGCGACGACGGGUAGCCGGCCUGAGAGGGCGACCGGCCACACUGGGACUGAGACACGGCCCAGACUCCUACGGGAGGCAGCAGUGGGGAAUCUUGCGCAAUGGGCGAAAGCCUGACGCAGCGACGCCGCGUGAGGGAUGACGGCC